RNAcentral lists this ribosomal RNA (511 nucleotides) under uncultured bacterium. Its description in RNAcentral is "bacterial SSU rRNA". It matches the Rfam family "Bacterial small subunit ribosomal RNA", at positions 17 to 518 of the family's 1533-position model. The record is from RNAcentral.
UUCUGGCUCAAGGAUGAACGCUAGCUACAGGCUUAACACAUGCAAGUCGAGGGGCAGCGAGAAGAAAGCUUGCUUCUUGCGGCGACCGGCGCACGGGUGAGUAACGCGUAUCCAACCUUCCCUAUAGUAGAGAAUAGCCCGGCGAAAGUCGGAUUAAUGCUCUAUGUUGUAUUUUGCGGACAUCUAACGAAUACCAAAGGUUUACCGCUAUAGGAUGGGGAUGCGUCUGAUUAGGUUGUUGGCGGGGUAACGGCCCACCAAGCCCUCGAUCAGUAGGGGUUCUGAGAGGAAGGUCCCCCACAUUGGAACUGAGACACGGUCCAAACUCCUACGGGAGGCAGCAGUGAGGAAUAUUGGUCAAUGGGCGAGAGCCUGAACCAGCCAAGUAAGCGUGCAGGAUGACGGCCCUAUGGGUUGUAAACUGCUUUUAUCAGGGGAUAAAGUCGGGGACGUGUCCCCGUUUGUAGGUACCUGAUGAAUAAGGACCGGCUAAUUCCGUGCCAGCCGCCGC